RNAcentral lists this ribosomal RNA (440 nucleotides) under uncultured bacterium. Its description in RNAcentral is "partial 16S ribosomal RNA". It matches the Rfam family "Bacterial small subunit ribosomal RNA", at positions 338 to 795 of the family's 1533-position model. The record is from RNAcentral.
CCUACGGGGCGCUGCAGUGGGGGAUAUUGCACAAUGGGGGGAACCCUGAUGCAGCGACGCCGCGUGGGUGAAGGAGCGUUUCGGCGCGUAAAGCCCUAUCGGCAGGGAAGAAGAUGACGGUACCUGCCCAAGAAGCCCCGGCUAACUACGUGCCAGCCGCCGCGGUCAUACGUAGGGGGCAAGCGUUAUCCGGAUUUACUGGGUGUAAAGGGGGCGCAGACGGCAAUGCAAGCCAGGAGUGAAAGCCCGGGGCCCAACCCCGGGACUGCUCUUGGAACUGCAUGGCUGGAGUACAGGAGGGGCAGGCGGAAUUCCUGGUGUAGCGGUGGAAUGCGUAGAUAUUAGGAGGAACACCGGUGGCGAAGGCGGGCUGCUGGACUGUGACUGACGUUGAGGCCCGAAGGCGUGGGGAGCAAACAGGAUUAGAUACCCUUGUAGUC